This is an RNA transcript of Nannospalax galili (Upper Galilee mountains blind mole rat), 1746 nucleotides long. It is a transcript of the gene named 60 kDa heat shock protein, mitochondrial pseudogene, with no coding region annotated. The transcript has a single exon. NCBI's taxonomy places the organism in Eukaryota, Metazoa, Chordata, Mammalia, Rodentia, Spalacidae. The record is from RefSeq and is a predicted model, not a curated record.
CCCCACCACGUGCACUCCUGCUGACACCCCACAGAAAUGCCUGGACUACCCACAGUCCUUCACCAGAUGAGACCAGUGUCCCAGGUCCUGGCUCCUCAUCUCACUCGAGCUUAUGCCAAAGAUGUAAAAUUUGGAGUGGAUGCCCCAAUCCUAAUGUUUCAAGGUGUAGACCUUUUAGCUGAUGCUGCAGCCGUUUCAACGGGGCCAAAGGGAAGAAUGGUUAUUACUGAACAGUGCUGAGGAAGUCCCAAAGUAACAAAAGAUGGUGUGAUUAUUGCAAAGUCAAUUUGAUUUAAACGAUAAAUAUAAAAACAUUGGAGCUAAACUUGUUCAAGAUGUUGCCAAUAACACCAAUGAAGAGGCCGGGUACAUCACCACCACUGCUACUGUUCUGGCAAGCUCUAUCGCCAAGGAGGGCUUUGAAAAGAUCAGCAAAGGUGCUAAUCCAGUGGAAAUCAGGAGAGGUGUGAUGUUGGCUGUUGAUGCUGUAAUUGCUAAACUUAAAAAGCAGUCUAAACCUGUUACAACUCCUAAAGAAAUUGCUCAGGUUGCUACAAUUUCUGAAAAUGGAGAUAAAGAAAUUAGAAACAUCAUUUCUGAUGCAAUGAAAAAGGUUGGAAGAAAGGGUGUCAUCACAGUAAAAGAUGGGAAAACAUAGAUCAAUUAGGAAUUAUUGAAAGCAUGAAGUUUGAUCAAGGCUACAUUUCCCCAUAUUUUAUUAACACAUCAAAAGGUCAAAAAUGUGAAUUCCAAGAUGCCUAUGUUUUGAGUGAAAAGAAAAUUUCUAGUGUCCAGUCUAUUGUUCCUGCUCUUGAAAUUGCCAAUGCUCACCAGAAACCGUUGGUCAUAAUUGCUGCAGAUGUUGAUGGAGAAGCUCUAAGUAUACUGGUUUUGAACAGGCUAAAGGUUGGCCUUCAGGUGGUAGCAGUCAAAGCUCCACGGUUCGGGGACAAUAGGAAGAACCAGCUAAAAGAUAUGGCUAUUGCUACUAGUGGUGCAGUAUUUGGAGACGAGGGGUUGAAUCUGAACCUUGCAGAUGUUCCAAGCUCAUGACUUAGGAAAACUUGGAGAGGUCAUUGUCACCAAAGAUGAUGUCACGCUUUUGAAAGGAAAAGGUGACAAAGCUCAAAUUGAAAAAACCUAUUCAAGAAAUCACUGAGAAGUUAGACAGCACACCUAGUGAAUGUGAAAAGGAAAAACUAAAUGAACGACUAGCAAAGCCAUCAGAUGGAGAACAGGGUUAAGGUUUGUGGGACAAGUGAUGUUAAAGUGAAUGAGAAGAAAGACAGAGUGACAGAUGCCCCCAAUGCUACCAGAGCAGCUAUUAAAGAAGGCAUUGUUCUAGGAGGGGGGUGUGCUCUCAUUGCAACCCAGCCUUGGACUCAAUAAAGCCUGCCAAUGACGAUCAGGAAAUUGGUAUAGAAAUUAUUAAAAGAGCACUGAAAAUUCCUGCAAUGACUAUUGCUAAGUAUGCAGGUGUUGAAGGCUCUUUGAUAGUUGAGAAAAUUCUGCAAAGUUCCUCAGAAGUUGGUUGUGAUGCUAUGCUUGGAGAUUUUGUGAACAUGGUAGAAAAGGGAAUCAUUGAUCUAACAAAGGUUGUAAGAACUGCUUUAAUGGAUGCUGCUGGGGGUGGUCUUUCUGUUAACUACAGCAGAAGCUGUCACAGAAAUUCCUAAAGAAGAGAAGGGGCCUGGAAUGGGCAAAAUGGGUGGAAUGGAAGGUGGUUAGGGAGGUGGCUUGUUCUAA